CCUUUUCAUGUUGUCUCGGAUCGCUUCACCAUUUCUUCAACCUUCCGCUUCUGCAGCACGGUCAACCCGCCAACCCGUCGCCAACCCGUCGCCAACCACUGCUUUCCUCUUCACAACCCUCCCUCACUCGCUGGUCAAACUCAAGAUCGCUCCCAUCAACCAGCUCCGUCGCUGCAAGAUACGGAGAAGGAAUGGCGGCUCCACAGCAAGUUCGGCGGGUCUUCUGCGUUGGAACGGCCGACACGAAGCUCGAUGAGCUCCGGUUCCUCGCCGACUCCGUCAGGUCGCACGUCGCCGCCUUCGCCGCCAACCCUCGCUUUACGGUAGAAGUAGCUGUUGUUGAUGUAUCAGCCGGUCAGGAUGAGAUUCAAAGUGUUGAAGGCCUAAUCUUUACCCCUCGAAAGGAACUGCUUUCUCAGUACUUCGAAUUCAAUAACCAAAAACCGCAAAAACUUCCGGACGACAGAGGCGAGGCUGUCUCGUUAAUGAGCAAAGCGUUGGAGAUUUACCUGAAAAGAGCUAGCGAGGAUCAGAUACUAGCUGGAGCUAUCGGACUUGGAGGAAGCGGAGGCACCUCUCUGAUAUCAUCUGCAUUUAGAGCUCUUCCACUGGGUUUGCCCAAGGUAAUUGUGUCGACCGUGGCUAGUGGACAAACGGAGCCUUACAUUGGAUCGACAGAUUUGGUGCUAUUUCCUUCUGUAGUGGAUGUGUGUGGGAUUAAUAGCGUGAGUAGGGUGGUGUUUUCCAAUGCUGCGGCUGCUUUUGCUGGAAUGGUGAUCGGGAGGAUUGAUACAUGCAGGGAGAAAAAUAAGGUGGAUGCGAAGUCAACUGUGGGUGUUACUAUGUUUGGUGUUACGACUCCGUGCGUGAAUGCUGUGAUAGAGAGGUUAAGUAAGAACGGUUAUGAGACUUUGGUUUUCCAUGCCACAGGCGUUGGAGGCAGGGCCAUGGAGUCUCUGGUUAGAGAAGGAUUCAUACAGGGUGUUUUGGACAUCACGACAACUGAGGUUGCUGAUCAUAUUGUCGGAGGUGUUAUGGCUUGUGACAGUUCCCGUUUUGAUGCCGUUAUAGAAAAAAGGGUUCCUCUAGUCCUCAGUGUGGGUGCCCUAGACAUGGUGAAUUUUGGAGCUAGAGAUGCCAUACCUUCUAGUUUUCAGCAAAGAAAGAUCCAUGAACAUAAUAAACAGGUUUCACUUAUGCGAACUACUGUUGAGGAGAACAAGAAAUUCGCUGACUUCAUAGCGAACAAAUUGAACAAGUCAUCAUCAAAAGUCUGCGUUUGUCUUCCGGAGAAGGGUGUUUCUGCUUUGGAUGCACCAGGAAAGCCAUUUCAUGACCCUGAUGCUACUGCUGCUCUUGUAAAUGAACUACAGAAACUUAUUAACACAAACAACGACAGAAAGAUCAAAGUGUAUCCUUACCAUAUCAAUGACGUGGAGUUUGCAAAUGCAAUUGUUGACUCCUUUUUGGAGAUUAAUAAGAACAAUGGGAAAGAAUUCAGUCCUCAAACUUCUGUAGCUGUUUCUAUUGAAGAUUCGAAUGUGGGAGCAGUGCCAACGAUGGGUUACUCAAGCUUCAAGGCCACUAUGUACUCACCAAGUGAUUUCCCAGAUGCACAUCCAGAAACUUUGAAAAGAACACAAGCUAUAUUGCACCAGCUGCAAGAUCAAAUAAAUAGAGGGAUUCCAAUAAUAGGGGCUGGUGCAGGGACAGGCAUCUCCGCGAAAUUCGAAGAAGCGGGUGGCGUUGAUCUAAUAGUUUUGUACAACUCCGGCCGCUUUCGCAUGGCGGGAAGAGGUUCUUUGGCAGGGUUGUUGCCUUAUGCUGAUGCCAAUGCGGUCGUGCUAGAUAUGGCUAAUGAAGUGCUUCCUGUUGUGAAGGCAGUACCCGUUCUUGCUGGAGUAUGUGGAACUGACCCUUUUCGUCGAAUGGAUUACUUCCUAAGGCAAGUGGAGUCCAUUGGAUUUUUUGGGGUGCAAAAUUUUCCCACAGUGGGGCUUUUUGAUGGUAAUUUCAGACAGAAUCUGGAAGAAACAGGAAUGGGAUAUGGCUUGGAAGUUGAGAUGAUAGCAAAAGCUCACAAAAUGGGUCUAUUAACAACUCCUUAUGCUUUCAAUGAAGAUGAAUCUGCAGAAAUGGCAAAAGCUGGAGCUGAUAUUAUAGUGGCUCAUAUGGGCCUCACAACUUCUGGCUCAAUAGGUGCAAAGACUGCUGUCACAUUGGAGGAAAGUGUAGUUCGUGUACAAGCUAUAGCAAAUGCCACACAUAGGAUCAAUUCCCAUGCUAUCAUCUUAUGCCAUGGAGGUCCUAUAUCUGGUCCAAAAGAGGCAGAAUUCAUACUGAAGAACACUGAGGGAGUUCAUGGGUUUUAUGGCGCAUCAAGCAUGGAGAGGCUACCUGUUGAAAAAGCAAUUAAAAGCACAGUUCAAGAAUACAAAUUAAUAUCCCUGAAGUGAGGUUCAGUGUAUCACUCUGUAUACUAAGAUGUCAAUUACAAGUUUGUAUUUCCUUACACACUGGGCAGAACCGAUCAUUCUGAAGGAUACGUGGGGAAAUAUUAUUUUUUAUUUGGUGGACCCCGUUGGUUAUUGAUUUGUGAUGGGCUGAAUAUUUUAGAACGAGUUUACGCAACGAAAUUUUGGAUGGGUACAUUGCUUAGCAGAGCUGCAGAUAGACAUACCUGUAUCCACUCGUCAUUCGGUGCAAGAAGGCCAACAUGGUAACUUUUGCCAUGUUCAUUCCCAAGCAUGUUCUGGGUCCGGACCCGAAAGGAGAAAGAAACGAGAGGCGUCGAAGAUGGCGUAUUUACAUCAAAUCGCGAAGGGUUAAAUUGAAUGGGAUUCUUGUACAUGCUGGGAUCAUAGUGAAUGCAAGUCGCAUCAAUGUUUACAUGCCAUCCUUUCUUGAUAUUGUGACCUGCAUGUUCCACGGAUGAUUUAGUACGUAGUUUUCAGGAACUUGACACUCCACAUCAUGGCAGCUGCAGUGGUGGUUUGCCCAGCAAUGAUCAGAGUCAACAGAUUGUCCAUGAUCUCUGAGUCAUCCAGCUUCUCUUCAGGAGGCAAUGAAUCUCUCUCCAGCAUCGACUGCAAGAAGUCCUCAGGAGCUCCUCCCUCCCCUCUUCCUCUUCUCUCCUCUAUCAUUUCUCUGAAUCUUUCCAUCAGCCUACUUCUUGCCUGCAUCAACCAUUUCACCAUAUUCUAUUUGUUUCUUUUACUUUUGUAGCCUACUGGAUUUACGAGUGCAAUUUUGGAUUUCAAAUGGCAGGCUACGGUAA
Molecule: RNA transcript, 3277 nt
Organism: Rhodamnia argentea
Lineage: Eukaryota; Viridiplantae; Streptophyta; Magnoliopsida; Myrtales; Myrtaceae
Gene name: toMV susceptible protein tm-1(GCR26)
Exons: 12
Source: RefSeq, a predicted model, not a curated record